Molecule: ribosomal RNA, 450 nt
Filed under: uncultured bacterium
Lineage: Bacteria
Description: bacterial SSU rRNA
Rfam family: Bacterial small subunit ribosomal RNA
Source: RNAcentral
GUCGAGAAUCUUUCGCAAUGGGCGCAAGCCUGACGAAGCGACGCCGUGUGAGCGAAGAAGGCCUUCGGGUUGUAAAGCUCUUUCGCUAGGGAACAAGAGAGACGGGAUAAUACCCCGUUGAUUUGAUGGUACUUGGUAAAGAAGCACCGGCUAACUCCGUGCCAGCAGCUGCGGUAAUACGGAGGGUGCAAGCAUUGAUCGGAAUUACUGGGCGUAAAGGGCGCGUAGGCGGUUUAGAAAGUCAGAUGUGAAAUUCCGGGGCUCAACCCCGGAGCUGCAUUUGAAACUUCUAAACUAGAGUAUAGUUAGGGAAAACGGAAUUCCACGUGUAGCGGUGAAAUGCGUAGAUAUGUGGAAGAACACCGGUGGUGAAGACGGUUUUCUGGGCUAAAACUGACGCUGAGGCGCGAAAGCAAGGGGAGCAAACAGGAUUAGAAACCCUAGUAGUCC